This 424-nucleotide ribosomal RNA is filed under the name Verrucomicrobiota bacterium. Its description in RNAcentral is "Verrucomicrobia bacterium partial 16S ribosomal RNA". It matches the Rfam family "Bacterial small subunit ribosomal RNA", at positions 355 to 776 of the family's 1533-position model. Lineage: Bacteria; Pseudomonadati; Verrucomicrobiota. The record is from RNAcentral.
UGAGGAAUAUUGGUCAAUGGGCGAGAGCCUGAACCAGCCAAGUAGCGUGCAGGAUGACGGCCCUAUGGGUUGUAAACUGCUUUUAUAUGGGAAUAAAGUGAGGGACGUGUCCCUUAUUGCAUGUACCAUACGAAUAAGGACCGGUUAAUUCCGUGCCAGCAGCCGCGGUAAUACGGAAGGUCCAGGCGUUAUCCGGAUUUAUUUGGUUUAAAGGGAGCGUAGGCUGGAGAUUAAGUGUGUUGUGAAAUGUAGACGUUCAACGUCUGAAUUGCAGCGCAUACUGGUUUCCUUGAGUACGCACAACGUUGGCGGAAUUCGUCGUGUAGCGGUGAAAUGCUUAGGUAUGACGAAGAACUCCGAUUGCGAAGGCAGCUGACGGAAGCGCAACUGACGCUUAAGCUCGAAGGUGCGGGUAUCAAACAGG